Molecule: ribosomal RNA, 227 nt
Filed under: uncultured bacterium
Lineage: Bacteria
Description: partial 16S ribosomal RNA
Rfam family: Bacterial small subunit ribosomal RNA
Source: RNAcentral
CUGAACCAGCCAAGUAGCGUGAAGGAUGACGGCCCUAUGGGUUGUAAACUUCUUUUAUACGGGAAUAAAGUGAGCCACGUGUGGCUUUUUGUAUGUACCGUAUGAAUAAGGAUCGGCUAACUCCGUGCCAGCAGCCGCGGUAAUACGGAGGAUGCGAGCGUUAUCCGGAUUUAUUGGGUUUAAAGGGAGCGUAGACGGGUUUUUAAGUCAGUUGUGAAAGUUUGCGG